AUUUUUUCCUGGUACUGGGGACAGAACCCAGGGUGCCCUUCCACCCAGGUACAUUCCUAGCCCAUUUUUUAUUUGGGGCAGAGUCUUGCUAAAUUGCUAGGCGGAACUAAAAUUUGCAAUCCUCCUGCCUCAGGUGCUGGGAUUGCAGGGCUGCACCACCAGGCCUGGCUCUGGCCAGGAUGAAUUUUAAAGGUCACCGAUUCAGAGAGAGCAGCCUGAAGAGCAGGCGCGCGGUAUGGCGUGUGAGGCCCUGCGUGGGGGCCUCUGGGGAAGCCGGUGAGUCAGCCGCCUUCUCUCUAAUAGCGUUCACCUCCGCGCGAGGAGUAAUAGGAGAGGCCGUCAUUAGCCAAGGUGUGAGUAACAGGGUUCAAACUCAAGAGGGACUCGGUGUGUUCCGCUGGGGAAGGGUGAGCUGGGGCUCUUCCCUGCCUGCGGAGGAGGCGCAGACCGCGGAGUCCAAGCCCAGGGACGGCGAUGAGUCCCUUAGACACCGGCCCAGGACGGAGACCCACAGGAACACGUCUGGGAGACCCUUCACCAUUCACCUGGGCCACCUUUGCACAGGUUGAGGAAUGUGGCGUGGACACAGAGCGAACAUGAGCCUGCUCUUCUGCACUCCCUUUCGUCAGAGCGGAGGUGGUGCCGGGAGGAGGAGCCAUCUGUGGAGUCCAAGCAGCAAUGUGUGACUAGCAUUUGCAGGCGCCGUGUGCGUGGCCAGAAACGGACACUACGUGGCCCUGCUUGGGCCUCUAUGGUGGCAGGGCCUAGGGCAUGGAGAAAUGAGCCAGAGAAGGGGCCGUGAAAGUCUUGAAAGUAGACUUGACAUUCGUGGAGGAGCUUGGUGUGCUGAGACGCAGGUUGGACAACUCAGGACGACAGAGACUUAGGUCUGUGUGAUCUCAAGGGCCGAGCUCAACCUGGAGUCUGCGGGGGAAGCCUUGAACAUUCCCCCACAUAUUUCUGGCUUCCGUCCAGCCUAGCGUAGAAAGUGGUGGUCAGGAUGUUCUGAACACCAGCCUCUCUCCACCCGAGCCCCAGGCCCUCACUUCUGAAGAUGAGCAUAGGACAUCACUUAGUUGUCCUAGACAAAAAUAACCCAGAGUGCUGCCUGCUCUCUCACCCUGUGAACAGCCAGGGCCCAGGCUAUGACUAAGUCUGCUGGGGGAAUCCAGAGGCCAGGACCCUUGCAAUGCUGGAGUCUAAAGGCUCCUGGGUCCUAAAGCUUCCUCUGUUUCCAAUAAGAUUUGUCUGAGAUAUUUCCCCAAUAAUUAGCUAAGCAAAGAGGAAAAGAGCACAUCAUUUUAUAAAAAUCUUUUUUUGUCUGUUUUUUUUUUACAGUGCUGGGGAUCAAAAUCAGGGCCUUGCAUGUGUCAUGUUUCAGUAGUAAAACACUACUGGACUGCCCCCUUACCCCUUAAGAGAGCUUUCAGGUAUGAAUGAUGGGUCCUUGGGAGGCUGAGGCAGGAGGAUCACAGCCUGGGCAAGUUGGUGGGACCCUACCUCAAAAGCAAAGCAAAACAGGCUGGGAUGUAGCUCAGUGGCAGAGGCUUUCCCUAGCAUAUAUGAGGCCCUGGGUACAAUCUCCACACACAACCCCCCAAGAAUAAAGAGCAUGUUUUUACUAUGCAAUCAAUUCUUGAGAAAUCUGGGGUAGGAAUUCUCCCAUUUUAGAAAUCUCCAGCUUCUUUUCUCCCAGACUCCUCUUUAUUCAUUCCUUCAGCAAAUAUUCCAUCUGUGGGAGACCAGGCCCUGGGUGAAGCGCAUGCACAGUCGAGAAGAGCCCGUUUCUUGUAUAAUAUUAGCCAGACUGACUCCGAGAUUUAACAUAGCAGUCAGGAAAAGAAGGGUACUAAUGAAAUAUUUGCCACACAAUUUCAACAUCCCAGGAAAUAAUGCUGUGGGUUCAAUCAGUCACUCUGGUGGUAGGUGAGGGAGCCCUUUAAAAGCAGGCAUCAGCAGAAGGGAAGGAUUCUUCAAGACUGGUUGUUUUUACAGACACCUCAAUCUGGUACAUUUCCUACGAAAAGAGUAUCCUUUUCUUUCAACAUUUGAGAAGUAUAAGUGAGCAUCAGUUUUAGAGAGGAACAGAAGAACAAAGCUCCCUUUCUGUAUUAACAAUAGAGUAGCUUAAUGUUGUUUUUUAAAGUUUCUACUGACCUGAAAAACACCGAGAGCUACGAAAUUGGAUUCGGAGUUGGAGGGUGAAGGAAUCCCGGAGCUGUGGGUGUGCAGCCACAUCAACAACAGAAACAAAUGACCAAG
This 2262-nucleotide long non-coding RNA is filed under the name Heterocephalus glaber (naked mole-rat). RNAcentral describes it as "lncRNA (ENSHGLG00000042192.1)". The record is from RNAcentral. Lineage: Eukaryota; Metazoa; Chordata; Mammalia; Rodentia; Bathyergidae.